GGACGGAUGAGCUUUGGCGGGAC
Molecule: non-coding RNA, 23 nt
Filed under: Arabidopsis thaliana (thale cress)
Lineage: Eukaryota; Viridiplantae; Streptophyta; Magnoliopsida; Brassicales; Brassicaceae
Source: RNAcentral